This is an RNA transcript of Lipotes vexillifer (Yangtze River dolphin), 847 nucleotides long. It is a transcript of the gene named RAD52 motif-containing protein 1 pseudogene, with no coding region annotated. NCBI's taxonomy places the organism in Eukaryota, Metazoa, Chordata, Mammalia, Artiodactyla, Lipotidae. The record is from RefSeq and is a predicted model, not a curated record. The transcript has a single exon.
AUGGUGGAGUUGGUACCUUUUGCGGUUCCCAUCGUGGGUGACAAAACCUUGCUGGUGUGGGAGCUGAGCUCUGGACCCAUGGCCAAGGCCUUGCAAUCUUCUCCCAGUUUGGCCUUCUGUAUUCGGUCCGAGUCUUCCCAAACGCAGCAGUGGCCGGUCCUGGGUUCUAUGCCAUCAUCAAGUUUUAUUCAGCAAGGGAUGCCCACAGAGACCAAAAGGCAUGCGACCAGAAGCAGCUUUUUCAGAUAUCUCCAGUGAAGGUUCGUCUCGGCACCAGACAUAGGCGGUUCAACAUAAUACGCCUGCCCUAAAGAGCUCCAGAUGCCAAGAAUUGGCAAAUUACUACUUUGGUUUCAAUGGCUGGUCAAAAAGGAUCAUCAAGCUUCAGGAUCUUUCUAACCUUGAAGAAAGGGAAAAGGAAGAUAUUGUGACACCACUUCAGAAGCAAAGCCUGAAGUUCUUUUGUGCUUUAGAGGUGGUGUUGCCCUCCCAUGAGUGCAGGAGUCCCGAAGUUGGCAUGGCUGAGGAACCUUUGAAUAACUUGGAGGAAGGGUCAUUAUCAUUCCUUAUGAAAAGGAAAGUAACCCAGAAGGUUGCUAUUCAGAAGGCUAUGAGAGAUGCAUUCCAGAAACUGCUGAUUGUGGUUUUAGAAAGUGGUAAAAUAGCUGUGGCAUAUAGACCGUGUGAAGAGGUCACAGAUGCUAGAACCGAAGAGGAACUACAGGAUUUAAUUCAGGUAUGUAGAGAUAAAAGCUCGAGGGGGUACACAGCCAGUGUAGCUGUAAUUCAAAACAACCAGCAGGAUUUGGAAGACUUUGGCAUGUCUACUCAGCUCUGUCAUCCUUAG